UGGAACUCUUGGUGGACCGCUGGAAUGCGUAGAUAUCAAGAUGAACGCCGGAGUGAAGACGGCGCUCUGGGCUUGUCCUGACGCUGAGGUGCGAAAGCCAGGGGAGCGAACGGGAUUAGAUACCCCGGUAGUCCUGGCCCUUAACGAUGUCCACUAGUUCGAUGGUUCUCUGACGGCUUGUCGGCCGAAACCAAAGCCGUUUAACGUGGACCGCCUGGGCGAGUUACAGGUCUGCAAGGCUAAAACUCAAAGGAAUUGACGGGGACUCACACAAGCGGUGGAGCAUGUCGCUUAAUUCGAUGCAACGUCGAAGAACCUUAUCCUGGGCUUGACAUGUAUGGAUGCCUACCUGGAAACAGGAUCGGUUGCCCUUCGGGGUGAAACGUACACAGGUGCUGCAAUGGCUGUCGUCAGCUCGUGUCGUGAGAUGUUGGGUUAAGUCCCGUAACGAGCGAAACCCUUGUCGCUAGUUGCCAGCGGGUAAUGCCGGGGACUCUAGCGAGACUGCCAGGUGUCACACCGGAGGAAGGUGGGGAUGACGUCAAGUCCUCAUGGCCUUUAUGCCCAGGGCUGCAAACGUGCUACAAUGGCCGAGACAAAACGACGCAAGACCGCGAGGUGGAGCUAAUCGGAAAAAAUCGGCAUCAGUUCGGAUUGGAGUCUGCAACUCGACUCCAUGAAGUUGGAUCGCUAGUAAUCGC
Molecule: ribosomal RNA, 701 nt
Filed under: uncultured organism
Description: bacterial SSU rRNA
Rfam family: Bacterial small subunit ribosomal RNA
Source: RNAcentral